Molecule: ribosomal RNA, 443 nt
Filed under: uncultured bacterium
Lineage: Bacteria
Description: partial 16S ribosomal RNA
Rfam family: Bacterial small subunit ribosomal RNA
Source: RNAcentral
CCUACGGGUGGCAGCAGUGGGGAAUAUUGGACAAUGGACGCAACCCUGACCCAGCAACGCCGCGUGAAGGAAGAAGGCUUUCGGGUUGUAAACUUCUUUUCUCAGGGACGAAGGAAGUGACGGUACCUGAGGAAUCAGCCACGGCUAACUAAGUACCAGCAGCCGCGGUAAUACGUGGGUGGCAGGCGUUAUCCGUAGUUAUUGGGUGUAAAGGGAGUGUUGGCGGGAGCGCAAGUCAGAUGUGAAAACUCAGGGCUCAACCCUGAGCCUGCAUUUGAAACUGUGUUGCUUGAGUGCUGGAGAGGCAAGCGGAAUUCUGGGUGUAGCGGUGAAAUGCGUAGAUAUAAGGAGGAACACCAGUGGCGAAGGCGGAUUGCUGGACAGUAACUGACGCUGAGGCGCGAAAGCGUGGGGAGCAAACAGGAUUAGAUACCCGAGUAGUC